This 450-nucleotide ribosomal RNA is filed under the name uncultured bacterium. Its description in RNAcentral is "bacterial SSU rRNA". It matches the Rfam family "Bacterial small subunit ribosomal RNA", at positions 354 to 796 of the family's 1533-position model. The record is from RNAcentral.
GUGGGGAAUUUUGGACAAUGGGCGCAAGCCUGAUCCAGCAAUGCCGCAUGCAGGAAGAAGGCCUUCGGGUUGUAAACUGCUUUUGUACGGAACGAAACGGUCCGGGUUAAUACCCUGGGCUAAUGACGGUACCGUAAGAAUAAGCACCGGCUAACUACGUGCCAGCAGCCGCGGUAAUACGUAGGGUGCAAGCGUUAAUCGGAAUUACUGGGCGUAAAGCGUGCGCAGGCGGUUUUGUAAGACAGGCGUGAAAUCCCCGGGCUCAACCUGGGAAUUGCGCUUGUGACUGCAAGGCUGGAGUGCGGCAGAGGGGGAUGGAAUUCCGCGUGUAGCAGUGAAAUGCGUAGAUAUGCGGAGGAACACCGAUGGCGAAGGCAAUCCCCUGGGCCUGCACUGACGCUCAUGCACGAAAGCGUGGGGAGCAAACAGGAUUAGAAACCCUUGUAGUCC